This is a long non-coding RNA of Ictalurus punctatus (channel catfish), 2155 nucleotides long. Lineage: Eukaryota; Metazoa; Chordata; Actinopteri; Siluriformes; Ictaluridae. The record is from Ensembl.
CAGGGGACCAAGGAAGGUGCAUGGGCCGGUGAUUGUUAAGCAUAGCUAUUGUUAUGACGUCUGCUGAUUUAACAAAUGCAAUCGAGUCUAACUCGAUUAUAUUUCCGUACUGUGUCUUAGUCCAACCAGGGUGUUGAUUUUACUUCGAAACGGAUAAUUUUAUUAUUUUAAUAUUUUUGUGGUAUGGUCGGCGCGGCCAGCGGAAGUGAACUUCUGAGAGCCACCCCACGUGUCCCCGCUGUAAUAUGUAUUGGAUCCAAUGAAGAGACAUUAACGAGUGACGUCUUGAGGUUUAAAUAGGCUUCGGAGCGAUCUCUGUGUUUAAAGUGCCAUCCGACUUCCGGUUUUUUAGGCGUGGCAAAACGCUUCAAAUCGCGCAAAAUAGCUAUUCUAAAAUUAAAUCUUCGCAGCGAUUAUAUUUCCGUACCGUGUCUGAAUCUAACCAGGGUGUUGUGUUCGCUUCGAGUUGGAUAAUUUUUAAAUAUUUUUCCGCAGUAAGGCCGGUGUGAUCAGCUAGAACUUGGGGAGGAAUACGACGUGCUCACACUAAGAGAGUAAAAGAGAGCUGUGCCUGAAUCCACUGUUGUCACGGAGCUAAAGGCAGUGAAUUCUGCUAAAAUGGUCAGGUUUUGGUAAAGAGUUGGAAACAUUGUGCGGAGAUCCUUUCCAUGGAAUGCUACAGAUCCCCACGUUCCAGGCGCUCUUCCAGAGAUCCAUAGAUUCCCAGUCCGGGUGGCUGGGUGGCGAGCCAACCGUGUUUGUGACUCUGACUUUAGACGGAUUGCCAGGAUCAUCUUCUUCAUCUUCAUGGUGGUAGGACAAACACUAACACGAACUAAAAAGGGCCCAACGUUGGUGACUGACCUCUUGUCAACAAAGGCAAGUGAAACUGAGGACGAACUAAGCUCAAGGGAAUUUAAAAGGGGAUUUAUUUAGGUGCGCAGUUUAUUAUUCUAGUUUGUUAUUUUUCAUAACUGUUUUUUGUAUAUGUAUGUACCAGCCCAUGUGUGUGUUAUACAUUUUAUGCAAAUUGUCAUUCUGGUGUGGUAUUCUUUUUAUUGACCUUCAAUUCUCAGGUUCUUAACAAUUUAGCAUCUUCUGAUUCUGGUCCAAAUUCAUAUUACUGAUAACCUCUAAGACUACUUUAGACUACUACACCUAUGGGUUACACAAGACCUUGUCGGCCGUUGGUUGUGCAUUUGAAUGUAGAGUUGUUUUUAGGUCUAGGCUGCUACCCCUGAGUGAGGCUUUGCUAACAAUAUUUGGCUAUAAUUUUAUCUGAUCUUGGGCUUUCUUCUUUUAUCUGCCGUGAAUGUGGGAGUUGUUUUUAGGUCUAAGUUGUUACUCCUGAGUGAGGCUUUGCUGACGAUAUUUGGCUAUGAUUCUACCCGACCUUGUGUUUUCUUCUUUUAUCUGCAGUGAAUGUAGUAGUCUUUAGGUCUCGGUUGUUACCCCUGAGUGAGGCUUUGCUGAAGAUAUUCGGCUAUAAUUUUACCCGAAAAUGGGCGUUCUUUUUUCCUGUUGAUUGUUUCUUCCAUAACGCUGGGUUCUCAUGUGACGGUUCCGUGUUGAGAUUGGUUCCCGGCAGGUUUUAUCCUGCACGUCAGAAUGAUAGGUAAGCAGAAUAAAAUAGCAGACUACCUGUGUGGGCAGUACAUUCACCAUGCCUGUCUGGGCUUGUUUCCGCUCACCUAUCCAACAGUCUCUUUAUCCCUUAGUCAAAAGGGCAGGAGACUAGACACUUGUGAUUGAUGGACAUGAUCGUCGACGAAACUCGUGGUCCACCAACGACUAAGGCUACUUUUACUCAGAUAGCGUGCUCGGUCCGAAGGCUCUGGCUGGGUUAGGUUUUGGUAAGAAUACAAUGAUCCCCCCCAUCACAAUAAUCCAUUGGGUAGUUAAGCAGGGGACCAAGGAAGGUGCACGGGCCAGCACUUGUUAAGCAUAGCUAUUGUUCAUGCAGCAGACCCCGGCUUUGCGUCUGCUGACUUAACAAAUGCAAUCGAGUCUAACUCGAUCAGGUUUUAUAGUUGGUGGGUCACGAGCUAGUUCUCAAUGAGCUGAGGAGAUGGCAUUCAGUUAGAGGUGGUGGAAUGGAUUGUGUAUCCAUCAUCUUCUGGUCUAAACAUGGACUAUUUGGUUUUAAAUGGACUGU